GCCCUUGUAGCCCAAUUUGGAAGCAGGCGCUUCCCUUAGAAGGAAGAGGUUGCUGGUUCGACUCCAGUCAAGGGCA
This 76-nucleotide transfer RNA is filed under the name Cyanobacteria bacterium UBA11371. RNAcentral's name for it is "tRNA-Leu". It matches the Rfam family "tRNA". From Rfam's summary of the family: Transfer RNA (tRNA) molecules are approximately 80 nucleotides in length. Their secondary structure includes four short double-helical elements and three loops (D, anti-codon, and T loops). Further hydrogen bonds mediate the characteristic L-shaped molecular structure. tRNAs have two regions of fundamental functional importance: the anti-codon, which is responsible for specific mRNA codon recognition, and the 3' end, to which the tRNAs corresponding amino acid is attached (by aminoacyl-tRNA synthetases). tRNAs cope with the degeneracy of the genetic code in two manners: having more than one tRNA (with a specific anti-codon) for a particular amino acid; and 'wobble' base-pairing, i.e. permitting non-standard base-pairing at the 3rd anti-codon position. Lineage: Bacteria; Bacillati; Cyanobacteriota. RNAcentral also lists the same sequence under 1 other name. The record is from RNAcentral.